Molecule: ribosomal RNA, 253 nt
Filed under: uncultured bacterium
Lineage: Bacteria
Description: partial 16S ribosomal RNA
Rfam family: Bacterial small subunit ribosomal RNA
Source: RNAcentral
UACAGGGGGGGCAAGCGUUGUUCGGAAUUACUGGGCGUAAAGGGCUCGUAGGUGGCCAACUAAGUCAGACGUGAAAUCCCUCAGCUUAACUGGGGAACUGCGUCUGAUACUGGAUGGCUUGAGUUUGGGAGAGGGAUGCGGAAUUCCAGGUGUAGCGGUGAAAUGCGUAGAUAUCAGGAGGAACACCGGUGGCGAAGGCGGUUCUCUGGGCAUUACCUGACGCUGAGGAGCGAAAGUGUGGGGAGCGAACAGG